UCUCCGUAGGUGAACCAGCGGAGGGAUCAUUACCGAGUUUACAACUCCCAAACCCCUGUGAACAUACCAUUUGUUGCCUCGGCGGUGCCUGCUUCGGCAGCCCGCCAGAGGACCCAAACCCUUGAUUUUAUACAGUAUCUUCUGAGUAAAUGAUUAAAUAAAUCAAAACUUUCAACAACGGAUCUCUUGGUUCUG
This 195-nucleotide unclassified non-coding RNA is filed under the name plant metagenome. RNAcentral's name for it is "partial contains small subunit ribosomal RNA, internal transcribed spacer 1, and 5.8S ribosomal RNA". The record is from RNAcentral.